GCAAACUUGGUCAUUUAGAGGAAGUAAAAGUCGUAACAAGGUUUCCGUAGGUGAACCUUCGGAAGGAUCAUUACCAUAACGCGGUCGCCCCGUGAUCCCCCCUUCUCCAAUUGCUGGGGGGUUAGGGCGGCCACACGCGUUCUUACCACCCUUGAUUUUGAGCACCUUCAUGUUUCCUCGGCAGGGACGCCUGCCAGCGAGGACCCCCAAAAAACUUUUUGCAGUUUGCAGUAUUUGUCUGAAAACAAACAUAAUAAUCAAAACUUUCAACAAUGGAUCUCUUGGUUCUGGCAUCGAUGAAGAACGCAGC
This 310-nucleotide unclassified non-coding RNA is filed under the name uncultured fungus. Its description in RNAcentral is "partial contains small subunit ribosomal RNA, internal transcribed spacer 1, and 5.8S ribosomal RNA". The stretch from base 1 to 73 matches the Rfam family "Eukaryotic small subunit ribosomal RNA", at positions 1759 to 1831 of the family's 1831-position model. The record is from RNAcentral. Lineage: Eukaryota; Fungi.